AAUGAACGCUGGCGGCAUGCCUAACACAUGCAAGUCGAACGAAGGCUUCGGCCUUAGUGGCGCACGGGUGCGUAACGCGUGGGAAUCUGCCCUUGGGUUCGGAAUAACAGUUAGAAAUGACUGCUAAUACCGGAUGAUGUCGUAAGACCAAAGAUUUAUCGCCCAAGGAUGAGCCCGCGUAGGAUUAGCUAGUUGGUGGGGUAAAGGCCUACCAAGGCGACGAUCCUUAGCUGGUCUGAGAGGAUGAUCAGCCACACUGGGACUGAGACACGGCCCAGACUCCUACGGGAGGCAGCAGUGGGGAAUAUUGGACAAUGGGCGAAAGCCUGAUCCAGCAAUGCCGCGUGAGUGAUGAAGGCCUUAGGGUUGUAAAGCUCUUUUACCCGGGAUGAUAAUGACAGUACCGGGAGAAUAAGCUCCGGCUAACUUCGU
RNAcentral lists this ribosomal RNA (432 nucleotides) under uncultured bacterium. Its description in RNAcentral is "partial 16S ribosomal RNA". It matches the Rfam family "Bacterial small subunit ribosomal RNA", at positions 29 to 506 of the family's 1533-position model. The record is from RNAcentral.